AUUUAAUUAUUUUAUUAGAGGGUAUAGCACUGAAUAUCUAAUAUUCAAUUAGAAGGGAGUAUGAAAGUACUUACCUUAGAUAUUUAAUCUCAGAAUAUUUAAUAAAGUGAUUUAAGUUAUCAGACUUAUUGCGAUAAGGUGGUAAGUCGAAAGGGGAACAGCCCAGAAUAAUAUAUAAAGUUCCAAAAUUGUUAUUAAGUGAAAUAAAGG
RNAcentral lists this ribosomal RNA (210 nucleotides) under Pneumocystis carinii. RNAcentral's name for it is "partial large subunit ribosomal RNA". It matches the Rfam family "Bacterial large subunit ribosomal RNA", at positions 881 to 1072 of the family's 2925-position model. Lineage: Eukaryota; Fungi; Ascomycota; Pneumocystomycetes; Pneumocystales; Pneumocystaceae. The record is from RNAcentral.